Molecule: ribosomal RNA, 367 nt
Filed under: uncultured bacterium
Lineage: Bacteria
Description: bacterial SSU rRNA
Rfam family: Bacterial small subunit ribosomal RNA
Source: RNAcentral
GGAGGGUGCAAGCGUUAUCCGGAUUCACUGGGUUUAAAGGGUGCGUAGGUGGGCAGGUAAGUCAGUGGUGAAAUCUCCGGGCUUAACCCGGAAACUGCUAUUGAUACUAUCUGUCUUGAAUACCGUGGAGGUGAGCGGAAUAUGUCAUGUAGCGGUGAAAUGCUUAGAUAUGACAUAGAACACCAAUUGCGAAGGCAGCUCACUACGCGAAUAUUGACACUGAGGCACGAAAGCGUGGGGAUCAAACAGGAUUAGAUACCCUGGUAGUCCACGCCCUAAACGAUGGAUACUCGACAUACGCGAUACACAGUGUGUGUCUGAGCGAAAGCAUUAAGUAUCCCACCUGGGAAGUACGACCGCAAGGUUG